Notolabrus celidotus (New Zealand spotty) is the source of this 74-nucleotide non-coding RNA. The record is from the annotation of a RefSeq genome assembly. Lineage: Eukaryota; Metazoa; Chordata; Actinopteri; Labriformes; Labridae.
GGCGCUGUAGCUUAGCUGGUCAAAGCAUCUGUCUCGUAAACAGGACAGCCUGGGUUCAAAUCCCAGCAGUGCCU